UGAAAAGAAAAACAUCGGCCUAACCUUUAACUGGCUGUGGUGUUUAGAUCAUUGCUGAUGGGAGGCAACUCCAUGAUUUCGAAAGCUUUCGAUCUCUUUGAGCCGAACCAAGUUUAAGGAUUUUUAGCUGCAUUUUAACAUCUCAACAAAGCCACAUCUUAAUCUGCCAGUAUGCAAAGGGUUGUCUAAUCCUUAGCAUUUGAACUCAUAGUAACCUCUGCAUUUUUCUUCUUUACUGCAUAGCUGAUCUCACUAUAAACCUGACUCCACAUGAAGAUUGUGAAAGAAACUCUCUUCCGCUCGUGCUGAAGGGAUGAGUCUCUUCCUUUCACAUCUUGUAAUUUCUGUCAUAUUUACAUUCACUGUUCUUUUACAGCGUUGAAACUUCACAAAAAUUCAAAGAUUUCAAUAUUCUACAGAUGUUUUUCAAUGAUUUACCUGACCUAUAGCUUGCUUCCAGACAUUGUUUUUCAGCUGUAUUUCGGCAAGCAAAAGUAACUGUAGUGGAAACAUUCAUCUGCAGAAAGAAGGGUGCGGUCCUAUUCUAAGCACAUUCAACACCAAACGGUUAAGACUCGAAAGUCACGAGUUCGAAUCUUGCAAUAGGAGGAGUAUAAUCAUCAUAUGAUCUAGAAGAGGGACUGUUCUAUCCCCACAUGGACGAAAAGGUUUGAAGACGAUAGUCAUGCAAGGGCAAUCCGUGAUAUAAGUUUCUGAAGGCCAGAGGGUAGAAGAAACAUUUGAAGAAGCUCAAAUGCUCCCAGGCAUUGGAUGCUUGCCAUCAUCAUCGUGUGUCGUCCAUUGACGGAAGAGUGGUUAUUGGUCGUCAAUUUGCAUCAACAAAAGCCGUUUAUCGUUGAUUUUGUGGUGUAUCGUUCGUUGAUUUGCAACGUUGGAAGAGGGGGAUAGUUAAUAGUAGAGUCCGACAAUAGAAGAGAUGGGCGGUAGUAGUUGAUUUGGCGGUGAUAAUAGUAGGAGUUUUAGGGAUUUAUGACUUUUCGAUAAUUUAGGAAAUUUAGGGUUUUGAGAAAUUCUUUAAAUUUAGGGUUUAGGACAACAUUUCAAAAUUCAUAUCCA
This is a long non-coding RNA of Hibiscus syriacus, 1077 nucleotides long. RefSeq lists it as uncharacterized. The record is from RefSeq and is a predicted model, not a curated record. The transcript is spliced from 3 exons. NCBI's taxonomy places the organism in Eukaryota, Viridiplantae, Streptophyta, Magnoliopsida, Malvales, Malvaceae.